RNAcentral lists this unclassified non-coding RNA (348 nucleotides) under soil metagenome. RNAcentral describes it as "partial contains 5.8S ribosomal RNA, internal transcribed spacer 2, and large subunit ribosomal RNA". The stretch from base 1 to 120 matches the Rfam family "5.8S ribosomal RNA", at positions 35 to 154 of the family's 154-position model. The record is from RNAcentral.
GAUGAAGAACGCAGCAAAAUGCGUUAAGUAAUGUGAAUUGCAGAAUUCAGUGAAUCAUCGAAUCUUUGAACGCACAUUGCGCCCGCUGGUAUUCCGGCGGGCAUGCCUGUUCGAGCGUCAUUUCAACCCUCAAGCCCCCGGGUUUGGUGUUGGGGAUCGGCUCUGCCCUUCUGGGCGGUGCCGCCCCCGAAAUACAUUGGCGGUCUCGCUGCAGCCUCCAUUGCGUAGUAGCUAACACCUCGCAACUGGAACGCGGCGCGGCCAUGCCGUAAAACCCCAACUUCUGAAUGUUGACCUCGGAUCAGGUAGGAAUACCCGCUGAACUUAAGCAUAUCAAUAAGCGGAGGA